GGGGAAUAUUGGACAAUGGGCGAAAGCCUGAUCCAGCCAUGCCGCGUGUGUGAAGAAGGUCUUCGGAUUGUAAAGCACUUUAAGUUGGGAGGAAGGGCUGCAAGUUAAUACCUUGUAGUUUUGACGUUACCAACAGAAUAAGCACCGGCUAACUUCGUGCCAGCAGCCGCGGUAAUACGAAGGGUGCAAGCGUUAAUCGGAAUUACUGGGCGUAAAGCGCGCGUAGGUGGGUUUGGUAAGAUGAUGUGAAAUCCCCGGGCUCAACCUGGGAACGGAAUCAAUACUUGCUGACUUGGAGAAGGGUAGAGGUGGGGGGAAUGUCCGGGGUAGGGGGGAAAUGCGAGGUUAAAGGAAGGAAACCAAGGGGGGAAGGCGACAACUGGGACUGUAACUAACACGGGGGUGGGAAAGCGUGGGAGCAAACA
This 425-nucleotide ribosomal RNA is filed under the name uncultured Pseudomonadaceae bacterium. RNAcentral's name for it is "bacterial SSU rRNA". It matches the Rfam family "Bacterial small subunit ribosomal RNA", at positions 356 to 774 of the family's 1533-position model. The record is from RNAcentral. Lineage: Bacteria; Pseudomonadati; Pseudomonadota; Gammaproteobacteria; Pseudomonadales; Pseudomonadaceae.